This 403-nucleotide ribosomal RNA is filed under the name Verrucomicrobiota bacterium. RNAcentral's name for it is "Verrucomicrobia bacterium partial 16S ribosomal RNA". It matches the Rfam family "Bacterial small subunit ribosomal RNA", at positions 355 to 776 of the family's 1533-position model. Lineage: Bacteria; Pseudomonadati; Verrucomicrobiota. The record is from RNAcentral.
UGGGGAAUAUUGCACAAUGGGCGCAAGCCUGAUGCAGCAACGCCGCGUGAACGAUGAAGGUCUUCGGAUCGUAAAGUUCUGUUGCAGGGGAAGAUAAUGACGGUACCCUGUGAGGAAGCCCUGGCUAAAUACGUGCCAGCAGCCGCGGUAAUACGUAUGGGGCGAGCGUUGUCCGGAAUUAUUGGGCGUAAAGGGUACGUAGGCGGUUUUUUAAGUCAGGUGUCAAAGCGUGGAGCUUAACUCCAUUAAGCACUUGAAACUGAAAGACUUGAGUGAAGGAGAGGAAAGUGGAAUUCCUAGUGUAGCGGUGAAAUGCGUAGAUAUUAGGAGGAAUACCGGUGGCGAAGGCGACUUUCUGGACUUUUACUGACGCUCAGGUACGAAAGCGUGGGGAGCAAACAGG